Molecule: ribosomal RNA, 253 nt
Filed under: uncultured bacterium
Lineage: Bacteria
Description: partial 16S ribosomal RNA
Rfam family: Bacterial small subunit ribosomal RNA
Source: RNAcentral
UACGUAGGGUGCAAGCGUUAAUCGGAAUUACUGGGCGUAAAGCGUGCGCAGGCGGUUGUUCAAGACAGAUUUGAAAUCCCCGGGCUUAACCUGGGAAUUGCAUUUGUGACUGCACGGCUAGAGUGUGUCAGAGGGGGGUAGAAUUCCACGUGUAGCAGUGAAAUGCGUAGAUAUGUGGAGGAAUACCGAUGGCGAAGGCAGCCCCCUGGGAUAACACUGACGCUCAUGCACGAAAGCGUGGGGAGCAAACAGG